RNAcentral lists this ribosomal RNA (460 nucleotides) under uncultured bacterium. RNAcentral's name for it is "partial 16S ribosomal RNA". It matches the Rfam family "Bacterial small subunit ribosomal RNA", at positions 338 to 795 of the family's 1533-position model. The record is from RNAcentral.
CCUACGGGCGGCAGCAGUGAGGAAUAUUGGUCAAUGGACGAGAGUCUGAACCAGCGAAGUAGCGUGAAGGAUGACUGCCCUCUGGGUUGUAAACUUCUUUUAUAUGGGAAUAAAAUGUUCCACGUGUGGGAUUUUGUAUGUACCCUAUGAAUAAGGAUCGGCUAACUCCGUGCCAGCAGCCGCGGUAAUACGGAGGAUCCGAGCGUUAUCCGGAUUUAUUGGGUUUAACGGGAGCGUAGGUGGGUUGUUAAGUCAGUUGGGAAAGUGUGCGGCUCAACCGUAAAAUUGCAGUUGAAACUGGCAGUCUGGAGUGCAGUAGAGGUGGGCGGAAUUCGUGGUGUAGCGGUGAAAUGCUUAGAUAUCACGAAGAACACCGAUUGCGAAGGCAGUUCACUGGACUGCAACUGACACUGAGGCUCGAAAGUGUGGGUAUCAAACAGGAUUAGAUACCCCUGUAGUC